GACGAACGCUGGCGGCGUGCUUAACACAUGCAAGUCGAGCGGUAAGGCCCUUUCGGGGGUACACGAGCGGCGAACGGGUGAGUAACACGUGGGUGACCUGCCCUUAGCUCUGGGAUAAGCCUGGGAAACUGGGUCUAAUACCGGAUAUGACUCCAUGACGCAUGUUGUGGGGUGGAAAGCCUUGUGCGGCUAGGGAUGGGCCCGCGGCCUAUCAGCUUGUUGGUGGGGUGAUGGCCUACCAAGGCGACGACGGGUAGCCGGCCUGAGAGGGCGACCGGCCACACUGGGACUGAGACACGGCCCAGACUCCUACGGGAGGCAGCA
RNAcentral lists this ribosomal RNA (324 nucleotides) under uncultured bacterium. RNAcentral describes it as "bacterial SSU rRNA". It matches the Rfam family "Bacterial small subunit ribosomal RNA", at positions 28 to 353 of the family's 1533-position model. The record is from RNAcentral.